Homo sapiens (human) is the source of this 688-nucleotide long non-coding RNA. Ensembl annotates it as long intergenic non-protein coding RNA 877. The record is from Ensembl. NCBI's taxonomy places the organism in Eukaryota, Metazoa, Chordata, Mammalia, Primates, Hominidae.
AGACACUGAAUCGCUGGUGCCUUGAUGUUGGACAUCUCAGCUUCUAGAACUGAAUUGGGCUGUCUCUCUCUCUUUCUCUGGUUGCAUUUCACCAGCUAAGGAGUUGCAUUGGCUUCUGCUCUCCUCUCUUGCUCACCUACAUUGUGAGCCUCUGUUCAGAUGUCACAUUCUGCAUACAAUGGCACCUCCUAACAGAAGAAAUGAUGGCAUGGGCAUGCAAUCUGCAAAAUCCAUACCACAGGAUAUUCUAGGGGACAAAUGACCUGGCCAUUUCAACAAAAACCUGCAAGAAACAAAAACGAAGAAAGGAAAUGGGCACUGCCCACAUGAGUAGUAUUCCACUGUAUUCCACAUGAGGCUCUUAUGACCGACUUCAGCAGAAGGUCAGAGGAUUCUAUGAUGUUUGAUGGUGUGCUUCAGGGGAGAAGGGUUGGGGUCAAAGAGACCUUCCCGCUUCUGCUGGUUUUCUCAGAUGCCAAGAUGCUCUAUUUUGGGGUAACAUGUCCUAAACCCUAUCACCUGCCUAAUGUUACUUAUUAGCUCUCAUUUCCCCUGACACUUUCCCUUUUUGUUUUCUUGAGUAGAAGCUUCAUAAAGGCAAGACCUUCAUCUUACUCACAGCAGUUGAUUCUAUCACCUUGUAUGGCCCCUGACACAUAGAAGGUGCUCAAUAAAUUUUGUUGAAUGG